UGUGGGGAGGGCACCAUUCUACAGCUGGCUCCAAUCAAGACACUCAGGCUGGUAAAUAACUUUAAGGUGCGUCUGGGGAAAAGAGCAUUCAGGCAGAGGAACAGCAAAAAGAAAUUUUCAAGGAAGUCAGCUGUCAUGUUAUAAGAAACCCUACUGAGAGGUCCACACGGGCAGAAACUGAGGCUUCCCACCAGUAGCCAGCAGAGUUUGCCCGCCAUGUGAGUGUGCCAUCUUGAAAGUGGAUCCUCCAGUCUCAGUCAAGCCUUCACACGAUUGCAGCCCCAGCCAACAUCUUAACUGCAGCCUUAUAAAAGAUCCGGAAUGAGAACUAACAAGCUAAGACACUUCUGAAUUCUUGAGCCCCAGAUAUUGUGAAAUCAUUCAUGUUUUAUUAUUUAAGCCACUAAGUUUUGGGGGUAAUUUGUUAUGCAGCAAUAGACAACUGUUAUAGAAUGAGAAAAGAUAUCACAAUAAACCAUUUAUUUCUUAAAAAGCUGACAAAUAUCACAGACAUGACACAAAUCCAGGAAAAUAACAUAAUACUCUUCUUUAAUUAACUGUCUUGUACACUGCCGUACUAUCUUUUUUCCUAUAGUUUUUGUGUGCAAACUCUUUGAGGAGUUAAUCUUCUCUAGCAUGGUUGAUCAAAUUUUUUAUUCCUGAUAGCUUUUAU
RNAcentral lists this long non-coding RNA (673 nucleotides) under Equus asinus (donkey). RNAcentral describes it as "lncRNA (ENSEASG00005034511.1)". Lineage: Eukaryota; Metazoa; Chordata; Mammalia; Perissodactyla; Equidae. The record is from RNAcentral.